RNAcentral lists this unclassified non-coding RNA (334 nucleotides) under Bombus terrestris (buff-tailed bumblebee). RNAcentral describes it as "misc RNA ENSBTSG00005022102.1". The record is from RNAcentral. Lineage: Eukaryota; Metazoa; Arthropoda; Insecta; Hymenoptera; Apidae.
GAAUCUAGUCGUCGCGGGAAAAGAAACGAAGUUGUCAGUGACUUGUCUAGCACGGAUUCGGGCAGAAAAGACUGUCCGGACUUUCCAAUUUUGAACGAAACUCUACUGGAAUCCAUUCCUCUACCCACGAGCGAUCCCGAGGAAAUCCAACACAUGCUUUUCUGUUACAUAGACAGCCUUUAUAAGAGUUCAGAUUUCCAAAGUAGAAUGAAAGACCCGGUGAAGGAACUUUUCGAGAAUAUCCAGCGAAAAUCUGACGUGUCGAACAAUAUUCCGGAUCCCUCGAAGCCUGAGAAAAGAGUCUGCGUUAUUUUCCAUGGAGCUCCUUUCACCG